This is a long non-coding RNA of Ostrea edulis (European flat oyster), 897 nucleotides long. RefSeq lists it as uncharacterized. The record is from RefSeq and is a predicted model, not a curated record. The transcript is spliced from 4 exons. Lineage: Eukaryota; Metazoa; Mollusca; Bivalvia; Ostreida; Ostreidae.
UGACAAACAAAGAUCUAGCUCGAGUUUGUUCAGUUUUGUAAACAAAAGACCAAUCGACGUGUGUCAGAGCAUCAAAAUAGAAGUAAUCUUGGAUGAAAAUGCCUCCAUGCAGUCUUUGAUAUUUAUUUGGAAUGGGAAUUGCCCGAGACAAAGAAGAAAAUGAACCUCCAGCCACACAAGAAAUGGACAAAACAGGAAGUAAAGGAAGUCGGGGAAUAUUUUGCAGAUCGCUAUAAAUCAAAAACUCUCCCUGGAAUGAAGGUAUGCCUAUUACUUAUAGAGAGUAACAAAAAAGCUGGAGGAAUACUUCGGAAAAGAAAAUGGAACUUGGAGAUCAUCAACAAAAACAUCCAUCUAAAAUGACCUGAAAAAUUGAAAUAAUUGAUUUGACAAGCAGUGUAUUUUGAAGUAAAUGUAACUUUGAUAAUAUUGUCCUGUUAUAUGAACUUUCACGUAUUACAUGCCCAUGUAUUGAACAUUGAAAGAAACAGAGUAUCUUGCUAGAGUGUUUGUAAAACAAAUCUGGGUCACAUUUUAACCAAAUGACUGUGCCAUAAUGUGGAUACGAGAAUUUCUUAAUUAAUUUUAGGGUGUGUAUCAUGUUUUUAUUAUACGUGAAUAUAAAGUAAAACAACUGCUUGUGCAUUCAUUUCAAAAUAGAACUUUUAAACAUUAACUGUAUUUGUGUCUGUGUGAUGAGAAUUAUGACAGUUUAAAAAUCUGAGAUCUUUUUACAUGCCUUUACUUUGGUCUUGAUUAAAGAUUUGUAUGUAUGUUUUUUCAAUUUAAUAUUAUAGUAUGUGCUUUGUUAGAAAUUUCAAAGUUGAUGAUAUUAUGCAAAUGUUUUGACCAUGUUGAGAUUUUCAAAGUUUAUGUUCAUAAAUUCUUGUUUGAAAA